GAUCAUGGCUCAGGAUGAACGCUAGCGGCAGGCUUAACACAUGCAAGUCGAGGGGCAGCGGGGGGUAGCAAUACUCCGCCGGCGACCGGCGCACGGGUGCGUAACGCGUAUGCAACCUACCUUUAACAGGGGCAUAACACUGAGAAAUUGGUACUAAUUCCCCAUAACAUUCGAGAAGGCAUCUUCUUGGGUUAAAAACUCCGGUGGUUAAAGAUGGGCAUGCGUUGUAUUAGCUAGUUGGUGAGGUAACGGCU
Molecule: ribosomal RNA, 254 nt
Filed under: uncultured bacterium
Lineage: Bacteria
Description: partial 16S ribosomal RNA
Rfam family: Bacterial small subunit ribosomal RNA
Source: RNAcentral